GGAUCUGGCUAAAUUCGUACUCGACGCGUAAACAAGCUAACCUUCCCGCCAUGUUUUCACGAUAAUAAAUUUGAAAAUUUAAUGGCCGACCGCAAAUUCAGGGUCGCUGUAUCGUCAAGCGCUUUCAGGAAUAAAUUCCUUUUAACGGUGCGGUAAGAUAUUCCACGUGCGAAGGACUGUAACUGAAAGAUGAACGAUAACAAUGUCUGUGAUGCAAAACGCGAUACAGUGGCAGCGAUCUGUCGCUUAUGGCUGCUUCUAUUAUUCUACGUCGUCUACUGGAAACGGACAAUCUGCACCUCGCAUAAGUUGUUCAGGGCGAGCCUAAGCCUGAAUAAGAAAUGAAAUCCCAGUCGUUAAAUUGUCAGCUUGGUAUAGAACGAAGUAGUAAUAAAACGAAUGCUAAGCUUGAGUCGUCAUUUGUUGGCAAAGAACGUC
This 438-nucleotide unclassified non-coding RNA is filed under the name Bombus terrestris (buff-tailed bumblebee). RNAcentral's name for it is "misc RNA ENSBTSG00005022231.1". The record is from RNAcentral. Lineage: Eukaryota; Metazoa; Arthropoda; Insecta; Hymenoptera; Apidae.